RNAcentral lists this transfer RNA (75 nucleotides) under Coriobacteriia bacterium. RNAcentral describes it as "tRNA-Gly". It matches the Rfam family "tRNA". From Rfam's summary of the family: Transfer RNA (tRNA) molecules are approximately 80 nucleotides in length. Lineage: Bacteria; Bacillati; Actinomycetota; Coriobacteriia. The record is from RNAcentral.
GCGGGUGUAGCUCAGUGGUAGAGCAUCGGCUUCCCAAGCCGAGUGUCGCCGGUUCGAGCCCGGUCACCCGCUCCA